AACGAACGCUGGCGGCAGGCCUAACACAUGCAAGUCGAACGAAGUCUUCGGACUUAGUGGCGCACGGGUGAGUAACACGGGGGAAUAUACCUUACGCUGUGGGAUAACAUCGGGAAACUGAUGCUAAUACCGCAUACGCCCUUCGGGGGAAAGAGUUAUCGGCGUAAGAUUAGCCCGCGUCCGAUUAGCUAGUUGGUGAGGUAAUGGCGCACCAAGGCUCCGAUCGGUAGCUGGUCUGAGAGGAUGACCAGCCACACUGGGACUGAGACACGGCCCAGAAUCUUACGGGAGGCAGCAGUGGGGAAUAUUGGACAAUGGGCGCAGGCAUGAUCCAGCCAGGCCGCGUGAGUGAUGAAGGCCGUAGGGUAGUAAAGCUCUUUCACCCACGACGAUGAUGACGGUAGUGGGAGAAGAAGCCCCGGCUAACUUCGUG
This 433-nucleotide ribosomal RNA is filed under the name uncultured bacterium. RNAcentral's name for it is "partial 16S ribosomal RNA". It matches the Rfam family "Bacterial small subunit ribosomal RNA", at positions 29 to 507 of the family's 1533-position model. The record is from RNAcentral.